CUAUUAUUUGUUCAAAACAUAUUCAUAGAGUUGCCACUGUAACAACUUGGAAAGUAGAUUAAAAUCACACCAUCCCUUUCCACCCCCCAGUAAAUAACUUUGCAUUUCAAUGCCUCCCAGAACAUUUCAGGAAUAAUCAACAGGACUCAGAUUUUUCUUUUUCAGCUUGAAGGCAAGAAGUUUGAAUGAUAGGGUUGUCAAGUCUUGGAAGAUUGGACUAAACUCUUCCCUCUCCUGCCCCUCAAAGGACUACCUCUGUCCUGAAGACGGAAUUUCCAACUGUUGCUGGACACUUUCACUCUGCUGUGCUAUGGCUGAGCCUUUCUUCUGAAGAAACUCCGUUCCCCCCUGCAAUGCAGGCUUUGGAAAGACAAGAUGUUUCUUAAGAAGUUUCUGAAAUGAAUAGUCACCAUCUGGAGCCAUUUACAAUAAGAAGAAGGUAAGCAUGCACCUGUUCCUUUCUUUAAAAAGAUGUAAUCUCUGUACCAAAUUAUAAACAAGUAUGGCAGUUUCCAUAAAAAUGCAAUAUUCAAUUUGCCAAAGCAGUUUAGAAACAUAUUGAUAAGAAUGUGAUUUUGAAAAGUAUGCUUCUAAAAGACUCAGUCUCUUUUCAGAUUUCAUUCCUUCCUUGAAAUGUUUUAAAGAUAAAACUCUUCAAAGUGGGUGCGUGUUCUACCUUGUU
Molecule: long non-coding RNA, 682 nt
Filed under: Neogale vison (American mink)
Lineage: Eukaryota; Metazoa; Chordata; Mammalia; Carnivora; Mustelidae
Description: Neovison vison (American mink) lncRNA (ENSNVIG00000013998.1)
Source: RNAcentral